RNAcentral lists this ribosomal RNA (164 nucleotides) under Kengyilia rigidula. RNAcentral describes it as "5.8S ribosomal RNA". It matches the Rfam family "5.8S ribosomal RNA". Rfam says of the family: 5.8S ribosomal RNA (5.8S rRNA) is a component of the large subunit of the eukaryotic ribosome. It is transcribed by RNA polymerase I as part of the 45S precursor that also contains 18S and 28S rRNA. Lineage: Eukaryota; Viridiplantae; Streptophyta; Magnoliopsida; Poales; Poaceae. The record is from RNAcentral.
CACACGACUCUCGGCAACGGAUAACUCGGCUCUCGCAUCGAUGAAGAACGUAGCGAAAUGCGAUACCUGGUGUGAAUUGCAGAAUCCCGCGAACCAUCGAGUCUUUGAACGCAAGUUGCGCCCGAGGCCACCCGGCCGAGGGCACGCCUGCCUGGGCGUCACGC